Molecule: ribosomal RNA, 535 nt
Filed under: uncultured Saccharopolyspora sp.
Lineage: Bacteria; Bacillati; Actinomycetota; Actinomycetes; Pseudonocardiales; Pseudonocardiaceae
Description: bacterial SSU rRNA
Rfam family: Bacterial small subunit ribosomal RNA
Source: RNAcentral
UGGGGAAUCUUGCGCAAUGGGCGAAAGCCUGACGCAGCAACGCCGCGUGGGGGAUGACGGCCUUCGGGUUGUAAACCUCUUUCGACAGGGACGAAGCUUUCGGGUGACGGUACCUGUAGAAGAAGCACCGGCUAACUACGUGCCAGCAGCCGCGGUAAUACGUAGGGUGCGAGCGUUGUCCGGAUUUAUUGGGCGUAAAGAGCUCGUAGGCGGUUUGUCGCGUCGGCCGUGAAAACCUGCAGCUUAACUGUGGGCGUGCGGUCGAUACGGGCAGACUUGAGUUCGGCAGGGGAGACUGGAAUUCCUGGUGUAGCGGUGAAAUGCGCAGAUAUCAGGAGGAACACCGGUGGCGAAGGCGGGUCUCUGGGCCGAUACUGACGCUGAGGAGCGAAAGCAUGGGGAGCGAACAGGAUUAGAUACCCUGGUAGUCCAUGCCGUAAACGUUGGGCGCUAGGUGUGGGGAUGGGUUCCACCGUUUCCGUGCCGUAGCUAACGCAUUAAGCGCCCCGCCUGGGGAGUACGGCCGCAAGGCUAA